UUUGUAUACAGAAAUAAAAUAUUCUAUAAACUAAAAAGUGUCUCAGCUUUCUCAAAACAUAAGUGGUCGCAGUUCUACCCUAGUCUCUACGCAUCAGACCCAUCGUGUACUAUGCCCUAGCUUUGCCGAUCGUUGCCCAAGAGAGCGCCGUGAAGGCCUUCAAGCCCAACAACUACAAUUCCCUGCUAAUCUUCAAACUUCCGUUGUUUCUCAAAACACAGAUGCAUUUUUCACUUAGCUUACUGUUAUUCCCUUUUUUCAAUUUGGUCUUGUUUUAUAAGUAUUAUAGCAUACCCAUUUGGAGUUUGAUGUAUUAGAUGGGUAAGCUAAGAAUCCCGGAGUUUGUCGUUGGUGAUAAGCCAUAUCUUAGUAGAGAUUAAAAAAAUACGCUUUCAUUGUAAACUUUCAGAAUUACGGUUUUUGUAUUCGGUGUUCGGGAGUAAAAUUUUGAUAAUUCGGUAAUCGAUACGGUAUUCAGAGUAAAAUUUUAGAUCUACGGUAUUUGGGUUCGGAUUCGGUACGAGAUAUUAAAGUAGCUAUAACAAUAGGACUGAAGUGAUUUUGCAGACAAUUUUUUAGAUUUAUGAUUCUUACUUUGAUAUAAGGAUCAAUGCUCGAUCUACUGUAAUCUUACUCAGAUUACAAGUAUGAAUAGUGAAAAUCCUUCAGAUUCUUGCUGUUCAAGUUCUUGUUGAUUGAACUAAAACUAUACGAUCCAGCUUAAGUGAUUUUGCAAGCAAUGGUGUUGGGUAGCUCUCAUUAUUUCCUUUACAGCUGUGGCUAACAUGAUAUAGGAUAUGAGAUGCAUUUUGUAACUUGAUUCACAAUUCACAUGUGGUUACUAGUUCUCUUUUGAAUACAUAGCUAAUUUAGCAUAUUACUAUUUUUAUUUUUUGCUUAUAUUACUGUUUUGCUUUUUUGCUUUAGUGUGGAAGAUAUUAUGGAACUCUAGUCACAUUGAUAAGCUGUUAGUUUACUUAUAUUCUAGCUCAAGGAAUCCUUGAGCCGAGGGUCUCUCGGAAAUAGCCUCCCUACCUCUCAAUGUAGGGGUAAGGUCCGUGUAGAAUCUACCCUUUCCAGAUCCUACUUGUGGGAUUACAUUGGGUAUGUGUUGUUGUUGUUGUUGGUUUUUACCGAAUAUUGAAUUAUUUAUUCUUUUUGAUCAGUUAAAUGUGGAUCUCCAGACAUAUGUAUCAUUUUUCUUUUGAAAACCAUUUUCUGAGAAACGGGUUUCCUGUGAUAUCCUCAUUACUGAAUUGGGGUGUCUUGAAGUUAUAAUUCUUGGAGAUCGAAAGCAUAUUCUUAUGUACAAAUUCUUUGUAUUCUAGCUUUUAACAUGUUGGAUAUUUUAUUUCUCAACUUUUGAGUCUUUUUUGUGAUUUACCAAUAGGUGAUGUGGUUAUGUAAGUCUAUACUUUGUUUCGUCCUUUCCUGUUUGUUGUAUCCUUUUCUAGAUAAAAUACAAUCUGUUUUUAGGCAUCUUCCCCCUAAAGUGAUUUGCUUCUACUGGUUGUCUCUCUAUGAAGCUUGUCUUACUCAAGACAACGAAUGAAGAGAAAAAUCCAGAUUGUAAAUAGAUACUUCAUGUGCGAAAGAGACUCUGAAAGUGUUAGACAUCUUCUAUUACACUGCCCAGUGGCUGCUAACAUUUGGAACAUGUUUUUGUGUAUUUUUGGACUAGUCUGGGUUAUGCCUAGCAGCAUUAAAGAAGCCUAUGAAAACUGGUGCUCAUGGAAAGUAGGUAAAUUCAUCAAAAAGUACUGGUUAAUGGUACCUGCUACAAUUUUUUGGUGCAUUUGAAAUGAAAGGAACCGUAGGUGUUUUGAUGGGAUUUCUACUUCUAAAAUGCUCUUAAAGCUAAAUACUUAAUGAAUUUAUAAUUUUAUUUGGCUGAGCAGUGCAGGCUCUUGUAGCUAGUUGUGAUCAGUUUUUGAUGGGGUUUGCUCCUUAGUUGUAGAUGUAGAUUAAGCUAACUUUUGUAUUUGAGAAAACUCCUGACGUUCCCCUUUGUAAUUGUUGCAUCUUCAAUUAUGCCUUUUAAUGAAACUCUUCUUGCUUAAUCAACAAACAAGAAAAGAAAUAUUGUUUUGGAAUAUUUGUUGCUUUUUCUUGGGACCAAUAUCUUUACUAUUAUUAGUUGCUCUCUUAAAUGGUAAAUCCUUCGCAAAAGAAAUGAAAAAGAACUGAUGAGGUGAAGUAUAUCUUUAUGAAUUAGUAUAUUCAUUGUUACACAUUCUGAUGGCAUGAUUUCUUUUAUUACUACAUUGUCACAUUUUCUCUUAUUGCUUUUUACUUUUGGCGCUUUAUAGGUUCAAUAUGGAACCAUCAAAGACUGAAAAUGAGGUGGGAUCGACUAUGAAGACUACUACCAGAUAUGCAUUCGUCGUGCCAGGUGCUAUAGGUGCUAUAGGAAAGGGACGAGGACGAGGAGAGCUUAGAUCAUUUGGUUGAGAAAGAGAACAUGCCAGAUAAAUUUGAGGGUGUUGAAUUGAAUGAUCAUCCUGAUCGUAUCUUGGGAAGGAUGAAAGAGUUAUGGAAUAAAUGGAGAGGAUACUUGCAUUUUUUCUCCUAGCCAGCUUUGUUGAUGUUGGAUAUAGAUUUGAAGAUUAAAGUUACAAAUCAAGAUGCAAGUUUAGAAGAUGCACAAGGUGAGCAGGUUGGCGGACUUGAUCCUUAGGAGCUCCACCAGCGGUAUAUUGAGAGUGCUCCAGUUCUUUCGGGUCUCCAGCUAUUCGGUGAGCAGGUUGACGGACUUGAUCCUUAGGAGCUCCACCAGCGGUAUAUUGAGAGUGCUCCAGUUCUUUCGGGGCUCCAGCUAUUCGGUACUACUUUUGUGUACAUGUCCGGACUCGGCAGUAUCCGGUCCUUUUCGAGAUGCUAUGUAUUAUACUUAGAGGCUCGUAGACAGAUAUGUACAGUCAGGUGUUUUGUGCUUUUGUGGUUCUCAUCACUGUAUAAGGUGCUAGUAAAGUUUAAUGGCCUGUAUUUAUAAUUAUGCUGCUAAUGCUAAUGUUAAGUAACAAAAAAGAAAAAAAAUAUAUAUAUAUGGUAUAGUUCAUGUGGCCACCUAGUAACAAGAAUAUGACACGAGAUAAGGGGUGCUCGGUACAAGUAUCGGGUACUCGUCACGGCCCCUAGUCGGGUCAUGACACAAAAAUUCUUAAUUAGCCAUUCCCGACUUAACAAAACAUCAUCCACUCAAACUCUUCAUCAUUCUACUCAUCAUACAAGUACGGAGAAAUUUUCGUGGUGUAACAGCACGAUCUAAGACAGAAAGAAGGUCAACAACUCCUAGAUGCCUUGCAGCCUCCUGUUUAUAAAUGUGGCCGGCUUCACACCUAUAAACAGGACUCUACUGGACACGACUUUGCAGACAACCCCUAGGACAACCUGCUCUGAUACCACUUUGUCACACCCUAAUCUCCCUGGGGUGUGAUGGGCACCCGACCCUUACUUAGGGCCGAGCGAACCCUCUGACCCUUAGUACACACAUAAUCUUUUUGGAUCUUUAAAUCAAAUAAGGAUGAAAUACAUAGUACAGCUUUCAGAAACAUUCUUUUUAUCAUUCUCAAAUCAACAAAAUUUGUAAUCAUAUGGAAUCUUUAACAUAAUAUAUAAAGAAACAUCGGCUGGGGAAGCCGCUUACAAGACUGACAUUCUAUACCCACGACUCUGUCUGCAAAGUCUCUAACAUUAAUCAGAAAUCAUAACAUAUGUACUCUGACUUGGCAACACUCCGAAAGGAAGUGGAUCUCGCCAAUCCAGCUGAAGCAUCUUCUAGCAAUGUCUUUUACUCAUCUGGGUGUACCCGCGUGGCAUGAAACGCAGCCCCCGAAGAAAGGGGGUCAGUAUGGAAUAUGUACUGAGUAUGUAAGGCAUAGAAAACAGAAAACAGAACCAAAAUCGAAGAAAGCAAUACAAAAAUAAGUACAUUAUUCAGAAUACCAAAAUGCUUAUUUUUCCGAACGCAAAUCAUGCAUACCGAUGUCAUAUGUCAGAAGAAGUACAGAAAAUAAGUAAACUAUCCGGUGUGCCAAAAUGCUUACUUUCCAAACACAGAACAUGCGUGCCGACAAUAUAUGUCAUCAUAUACAUAUAACAGAUCCCGGCCCUCUAGUGAGGGACGCGGUGAAUGAAGUCAUCAUGUAUGCCGACAUCAUAUAUCAUAUAUGCAUAUACCAGAUCCCGGCCCUCUAGGGAGAGACGCGGUUAAUUGGAUCAUCACAUGCCAUCCCCAUAUCAUCAUAUCAUCAUAUGCAGAUAUACAUAUAACAGAUCCCGGCUCUCCAAUGAGGGACGCGGUGAACAAUGCAGAGGAGGCGCACGAUACCAGAACCUGGCCCGGGGCGCAGUGAAGGACAUACUGAGGCUUGCACGAGCAGAGUAGAGUGAAACCAUAUGCACAUAAAUCAAGACUCGAUAGAUACGUACACUUACCGACAUUUGAAGGAUCAUAAACAUGUUUCAAGUCAAUCCGGUUUAGUAUGAGAAAGUUAUGGCCAUUUUAGUACAGAAACCAUUACGAACGUUUCAAAGCAAAUCCGAGAUCGUUUACAAAAGUUAGGGACAUUAAAAGGAAAUGUAAGAGAAAAGAAUCCACAAACUCUUGCCAUACUGGUGGAGGAACAUUGACUCCUCUAGAAGACAUCUAAACCGUAUACCAAUAAACCACAACAUACCGUAAUCUGUAGGAGGCCAACUCUACUAACUCCACAUCCGAAGCAUGCAUUAUCUGCAAGGUUCUCAAUAAUCCAUCUAUAAAUAUCCACGGGUCCUCAUCAGGUUUUGACCCAAAUAAUUCGGGAGGGUUCAAGCUAACAAAAUCACGAGCUUUUGCACUGACCGCUCUAUCACUAUGACCCACACCCUGCCGCUGAGGCUGACCGGUGACUAACUGAGUCAGCAAUUUGAUAGCCUCUCUCUUCUCCUGACCAAAGGCAUCUAGUGGAGGAACUUGGGGUAUUGUAGCUGGAGCUGAGGCCCCCUUCAUGCUCCUCUGAAAUGGGUGGAGUAUGAGAGGUUCGGGAUGGAGCCUUAUUCUAAGACUCACCCUCCUCUAUAUCUACCGGUGACCCCCGUUUGGUCCUCCUUCCGACCACCAUCUUGCCCUUCUGAGCUGCUGUAGCUUUCCUCUUCAAAGGCAUUACUGAAAUCAUAGCACACGAUUAGGAAAAAGGGAGUCCUGUUAACAUAGCUCUAUCGCACGAUCUAAGAUGAGAAAGAAAGGUCAAUAAUUCCUAAAUGCCACGUAGCCUCCUGUUUAUAAGUGUGGUGCGCUUCACACUCAUAAAUAAGAAUCUACUAGAUACGGCUCGUAGACACACCCUAGGACGAGCUGCUCUAUUACAACCUUUGUCACGACCCAACCAGAGGGCCAUGACGGGCACCCGAAACUAAACUACCGAGCACCUUUGAACAUACAUCUCAUAAUCAUCUCUAGGUGGACCACAAAGAUAGCUCAUGGAUGUCAAGAUCUAUAAGGGCAUAUGUCACAAGAUAACAAUACAUUUCUAUAUGAUCAUCAAUAAUUAUGCCCAUCAUCAUAAGCCGACAAGGCUGCCAAAAUAUUAGAAAACAAUAUGAACUAAUAAGGUUAGAUCUAGCUACAUACAUCUGUCUACGAGCCUCUAUAUAGAAUAUAGAAAUCCAUAAAGACGGGGCAGGACUCUGCCAUGCCCAAGUAUAUAUACAAAAGAGUAAUACCAAUAGAUAGUGGCUCCGAAGCAAAUGGAGCGCUCCUGAGACUCUAUUGAUGAAGCUCCUAAAGAUCAGAUCCGUCUCCCCGCUUCCCUGCAGGCAUGAACGUAGCGUCCACAAAAGAAGACGUUAGUACGAACAAUGUACUGAGUAUGUAAGACAUGAAUAGUAACAUGAUAAAAGUAUGAAGUAUUGCGUAAGAUAAGCAAACUGUUCAUACCUCAUGAUACCUUUUAAGACAUUCGUGAUGCUUACUUAACUUUAUUUUUUCUAGGAGAGCGUUUCAUAUAUCCACAUGCAUAUCUACACAAUACCGUACCUAGCCAUAUAGACUCGGUAUUAUCCGUACCCGACCCUAGUAAGGUUUGGUAAUAUUCAUACCCAACUGCAGUGGUAUACGCGCAAUAGCUAUCAUACCCGGCCAUAUAAGCUUGGUAGUAUCCGUACCCGGCUAUAGUAAGGCUCGGUAUCAUAAAAUAGGUAUAUACAUAUAUAAUAUAAAUAGCAUGCAUGAGAGCCUAAAUAAGAGCUACUACUUCAUCAGAGUAACGUAAGGUCGGUAACCUCCGAUGUGUCAUUAUGGAAUCAUCGUUAUGACUAUAUCUCACCUCGAAGAAACAAGCAACAUAAGGUGAGAUCAACAACAAUGAAUAAAAUCAAGAAAAUCAUGAAAUAAGCUCAAUAAUCUCAUAAUAGCAUCAAAUCCAUAAGCUUUGGAAUCUCUAGAAUGGGAUCAUCAUCAUCAUAAAAAACAUCUAUCUUUGGCAUCAUAAGAACUUUGAGAAUCAUGACCUUCUAGAUUUUUGGGAAUAAGGACGUUAUGGAAAGCAUGUGUCGAUUCAUAAGAAAAGAAUCAUGCCUUUAGAAAGGAAGGGGACAGCCUUAACAUACCUGGAAGCUUACUUCUCAAUUUUUCAGCCUACUUCCGGUUUCAUAAUACACACAUAAAACCAUUCAUGUUAUUGUUAGGCUGAUCGUCAUAUGCUUGUCUUAGGCCUUCAAGUUAAAUUCUUUUAGAAUCUGCCAAAAUUCGGGCAGCAUCUCCCCGGUUUAUAUCCCUAACCCGAAAUCACAAUACCAAACAACCAACAACAAUAACAACAACACUCACAUCAACAAUAUCAUCAUCAAUACAAAAAUACUCCAUAAAAUAUCCCACAUGAUGUUUAUUCGAUUUCUCAACUAACUAAUUCAUUAUACGACCAUUUAAUAGCUUUAUCUUCGUAAAUACACCGAAAUCACUAUCAACAAGGAUAGAUUUUUACCUUGUUCCCACUAUAGCUACAAUAUCUUCAAUAUCCGCCUUGUAUCCAAGCCAAGAUUCACUGCAAUAUGAUACUAUAAUCACAACUAUACGCUAUUCGAAACUAAUUCAUGAGAUUACACUUGAUUUGGGCUAAAAUUUAUGGGUGGAAGUUGGGAGAAAGUUCUAGAGGUUUUAGGGUAUUUUUGAGGGGUGGUUUGGAUGAAAAUAAAGGGUAAACCCCCUUUUAUAUUGUUCUAGAGUCGGUUUGCACCGACUUAGAAUUUUCGCACACUGUAGCUGGGCGUUCGCGCACUGUAGCUGGGCGAGCAUCUGUUCCGCCGGCCUAACUUGUAACGACCAUAACUCUCUACUCUGACGUCAUAUCGAUGAGAGGUUUGUUGCGUUUGAAACUAGACUCAAUGAACUUCAAUUUAGGCUUUUAUUCCACCUCAAAACUCCUGAUACACUAGGAGAUAUACCUCUCUAAAGUUAACCCAAAAUGUUUGUCCGAAAUUCUACCAAAUUGUCCCAAAUUUUUGACAAACUUAUUUUCUUCAUUUUGCUUCAUCCCAGAACCUUUAGACUCUUACUUAACAGUUGUUAAGAGUUUUCCUUAACCUUAUAAGGGUUCCUUGACCUCUCCGAGCAUACGUUAGUUUACUCACAAUACAAACGACACGAAAAGUUUUUAGGUGUAACAACUCCGGCUACAACUAAAGGAUUGUGGUGCCUAUGAGAGGAAUUGUGGUAUCAAUAAGUUGCGUUCAGAGGUAUGGUUAUAAUCAAAAUCAUGGAAUUCGAGCGAAGUCAGUUCAAAUAUAUGAGGAUCAACUGUGAAAGAAAUUUCGAGUUUGGUAAAAUGGAAAUUGGGUCUUUGAGCUAAGUUACAGGAAGUUUUGACUGAUAAAGUGAAAAAGAGGCGCUAUCAGUGUUAUUCUCGCUCGUGGAGGAUUUCAUGAGGUUUAUGAUAGAGAUUUUUCGACUACUUGACAACAUUGGUGCUUUUCUUUACUGUUCAAGGACGAACGUGUAUUUAAGUGAUAGUGAUAUAGCGACCCGCUUGGUCGUUUUGAGCUUUUAGACUUUUUCCCCUAAAUUACCCUUCCCAUAGUUUCAUCUUGGUAUUAAUGACUUGCAGGGAUGGGUGGUACAAUCAUCGAAAUAAUCGAGUGAGUUUUAGAUCAGUUUUAACGAAUUUGAAGUUCUUAAGUUAAGAAAAUAAAGAAGUUUGACCAAAGUCAACAUCGGGAGUAAAUGCGUCAUUUUUAAAAUUUCGUCACUUCCAUUGGAUCCGAAAUGUGAUAUAUUGACUUAGUUGGACUGUUGGUUCGGGUCCCAAGGCAUUCAGUGUGAUUUGGGUCGUUGGUUGAAAAUCUGGUAUUAUGAAGAAUUGGAGUUGACCUUGGUCAAACAUCGGGUCAAGACGACCUCUUUUUGGUGUGUUGAGUGUACAAUCAUGUUCGUGGCGUGUUUUGUGAUUGAAAUGCAUAUAUGAUUUGUGUCCCGGAGAUUGCGGAUGAGUUUCAGGUAAUGUAUGGGAGAAGAUUUGAAGAUGGCCAUUUGGAGUAGAAUUUAUGGGAGCUUUAGUGAAGAUCACAUUUUCAUAUGCAUUUAGGUUUUGUAUAGUUUUGGGACUUGUAAAUGAUCCAUAUGUUAACUUAUGUAUGAAAUUUUGGAGGUUUGACGGACCAUAA
Long non-coding RNA from Lycium barbarum (goji berry), 8637 nucleotides. RefSeq lists it as uncharacterized. The transcript has 7 exons. The record is from RefSeq and is a predicted model, not a curated record. NCBI's taxonomy places the organism in Eukaryota, Viridiplantae, Streptophyta, Magnoliopsida, Solanales, Solanaceae.